GAUCCUGGCUCAGGAUGAACGCUGGCGGCGUGCUUAACACAUGCAAGUCGAGCGAAGCGCUUUGGAAAGAUUCUUCGGAUGAUUUCCUUUGUGACUGAGCGGCGGACGGGUGAAGGUAACGCGUGGGUAACCUGCCUCAUACAGGGGGAUAACAGUUAGAAAUGGCUGCUAAUACCGCAUAAGCGCACGGUACUGCAUGGUACAGUGUGAAAAACUCCGGUGGUAUGAGAUGGACCCG
This 238-nucleotide ribosomal RNA is filed under the name uncultured bacterium. RNAcentral describes it as "partial 16S ribosomal RNA". It matches the Rfam family "Bacterial small subunit ribosomal RNA", at positions 15 to 233 of the family's 1533-position model. The record is from RNAcentral.